GGACCAACGGAAAAUGGGCAAAUUGAUGUUCACUUUCAGGAUCUGUAUAGCGCAAGAACAACGUUCGAGCAGGCCCGACUUCAUUUGGUCAUCACUUUUUCUUAUGCUAUGAGAAUUUCCAAGAUAUUUCCUUUGCUUCAAUCUGCGAGUCAACACCAUCACAUGUAGCGCAACAUGAGUCAUCCUUGGUAUCGUCCCGUUAUCUAGAUCCUGAAUAGAAACUAAAUGGUUAGUUGGUUUAGCACCUAAAUCUAAAACUGUUAUUUUGUUUGUUUGUUUAGCCAUAAGCUUUCUCUUUGUGUGUUUGGUAUAAUCAGAGGAUCAUGGUGUGUAUUGCCUCUCUCUCUCUCUCAAAUACUUGAAACAGAAAUCUUUAGCUCAUUCAAGUCGAAGGCUUUAUCUAGAGUUCCCUAAAUGAGCUUUUGCUACAAUAUAUGUACA
This 441-nucleotide long non-coding RNA is filed under the name Brassica rapa (field mustard). Its description in RNAcentral is "long non-coding RNA (BRAP_LNC000502)". The record is from RNAcentral. Lineage: Eukaryota; Viridiplantae; Streptophyta; Magnoliopsida; Brassicales; Brassicaceae.